Molecule: long non-coding RNA, 1525 nt
Organism: Vollenhovia emeryi
Lineage: Eukaryota; Metazoa; Arthropoda; Insecta; Hymenoptera; Formicidae
Exons: 6
Source: RefSeq, a predicted model, not a curated record
UGCGCUAAGUGUAGAAGCGUCGCACCUAAGUGCAAGCGGUGUAAGGAAAAAAUCAGAUGGCCGGCAAUUUCGAAGCAGAUGUAAACAAAUUAAAUAUUUAUAGGCAUAAGAAUAAAUAUAAGGUAGGAGCUUUUCUGUGAAUCUAGAAAAGAUUUUGCAGCAUUUAUAUUUUAAUGCCGUUGAAAAAGUAAUAACAGUCAACUGUCAAAUUUAUAAGCAAUUGCGCAUUCAGAAAGCGAGUGAGAAAAAGAAGUGCGAGAAGCGAACCGGCCUGUCAAUUGGAUAUAUCGAGUUGCGCCGGAGUCAUUGAUCAGCCGAAGCGUAUUCAGGAUGGAAAUAACAGACGUCCGACGAGUCGCAGGAUUUGGCAGACUUUCUUUCGGCCCUUCGAGACACACUGGCAGUUGCUUGGAAUCAAUCGAAAUUUGCUGCUUGACAUAUUGGUCUAGCAGCCCUUUCAUUAGGCGAACUAAUUGGAACUAGUUAUUACAGUUUGUUAACAAAUUGUAUUUCUGCCAGCAUUCUGACUGCAGUGUAUUGUGUACGCUAGAUUCCGUAUUGGUAGUUUAUUUUUAACGGAUUUGAAAAUUUUCAAUAUGAUACAUAAAAAAAUUUAUGAGCCUGAAUGGUAAAUCACUGUGUUUGUUACGUAUUACGCACGGCAUAACACAGCAAAAAAAUUGCUCUUGAUCACUUAGAUUCCAGCAAUAUAUCAAAGUUGGAUAGAAACUGGUAGAUUCAAGAAAUUUGUAAACAGAACAAAAUGUGGAACUGAAGAAAUUCAACAGUGGCUGAAGUGUGUCUAGUGAAUUGAAAGAAGAUCACAAGCAGACAUAUAUGGACAACAAUCAUCAUAUGGUGCAACGAUAUCGAUGAAUUAACUCCAAUAAGGGAAUUAUUGGAUUCCUUCAUCUGGAAUUGUAAAACAAAUUAUACGAAUACAUUAUUGAUGCAACAGUUUAUUCCAUAGUCAUUGUCAAUCUCGUACUUAUACACGCAAUAACAUUGAUAACUAUAAUAUAAAGAUUCCGGUGAUGAAUAAUGCGAAAACUUAUUACAUUAUUGUCACAAUAGAAAUCGUGAAUCAUUCACAACACACACCAGCACAUACGCGAUAAAGAAUACAAGUUAAAUGAACUUCCUGUUUAAGAAUACAAUGGGAAAACAAUUAAAGCUCUUGUCAAUUAUGAAGCGAAUGCUGACGCAUUUUCAUAAAACGACGUCUCAAAAUCAACUUUAAAGUUUGCUUUUUUAAUUAAAAUUUCCAAAAGCUUGUUUUCUAACUUUGAGUCAUCAUUGCUCUGUAUUGAUUUGACACAACGAAGUUUUAAUAUAACAACACGGACAAAAUACGGAGACGUAAUAUAAUUAAUGAAAUUUAGUACACAAGAAAAUAGCCAUUCAAAUUCAUUAUAUUAUUCGCGUAAACUCUUGGCGACUAUUUAUAGAAUAAAUAGAAUAAUUAUCUGUGAUAGUAUUUGUAUUUUAUCCAUGUCACUUGAAUAAAACAGGCUUUUGAACUCAA